This 74-nucleotide transfer RNA is filed under the name Candidatus Phocaeicola gallistercoris. Its description in RNAcentral is "tRNA-Ala". It matches the Rfam family "tRNA". From Rfam's summary of the family: Transfer RNA (tRNA) molecules are approximately 80 nucleotides in length. Their secondary structure includes four short double-helical elements and three loops (D, anti-codon, and T loops). Lineage: Bacteria; Pseudomonadati; Bacteroidota; Bacteroidia; Bacteroidales; Bacteroidaceae. The record is from RNAcentral.
GGGGCAUUAGCUCAUCUGGCUAGAGCGCAACACUGGCAGUGUUGAGGUGACGAGUUCGAGUCUCGUAUGCUCCA